GUGCUAAAAUAAUGAAGGAUAAAUAGUUAAUGAAAAUUUAAUGAUUACUAGAACUUUAUAAAUGAGAACAAAUGUAGAUACAUAAAUAAACGAAAGCUCCAAAUCUUCUAACAGAUAAGUCUGUCACUUAGUUUAACAAUGCAUUGAAUUGAAGUUAGUGGAAAGAUCUUUAUUUAGAGAAUGUGAUCAAACAACCUAACUAUCUUACAUAAAACUAGAGUCAUUUUUCAAAUAAAAGAUGUACCUCGAGAACUUAUUUUGUGUAUUUGACACAACAUUUUUAGUAAUGCAUAUGAAGCUAACAUCAUUAAGGGAAAAAGUAGUACUGAAACUUGUUAAAACUCUAAAUCAUUUUACUUAAAUUAGAUUUUCAUUCUAUAUUUAGCUAGAAAAGCAUAUGAACGCAUAUCUAACACACACUAUACAUCCAUAGUACUUGACAGCUCAAAUAGUUACGCCAGAUAACUACCCAAUUCUGCUAACGUGAUUUAAAGACCACCAUAAUGUAUAUGGUGGACUGUUUGGAAGGAGGGGAAUGCUAGAAGCUUUGGAGAUAGGAGUAGCAAAGUUCAGUAGAUCAAAACUGAUUGUAUUUUGCUUUGUGUUUUUGGUGUACAAAUAGAACUCCUCUAUAGAUGCAGUAGAUAUCUUGGAAGUUUGAGCCAUGCUAGUAUUAGGAGUUUUUUUUUGUUUUCUUUCCAUCUUAUUACUAGCUGUAAAGUUGGUUUUUAGCACUAUCUAAGUGCUAGUUAGAUAAUGCAAAUGUUGCUUUCUCAAAAAAAUAAAAAUAAAAAAAAGGGACCGCAAAGCCUAGCUAUCAUUUUAACGAACUCUAACUUACUAUAAUGCCAGAUGUAUAGUUAUAUCUAGUUCACCCUAAUUUAUGUAACAGGGAGGGAUACAACAAAAUCCCCUCUCAGGUAACCAAGAACAAAGAAUCCAUAACUAAUUCAUACAAAAGUAAUAUCAAGUUAAAAGUUUCUCAUUACCUAUUCCGCGGGAAAAAAUGAUAAGAAGUUUCUAUUACCUAGGCAGGGGAAGUCCUAUAUUUUCCAUGGCCUGCUGACAAUCAUGACUACAGCAAGGUGCUUCAGUCCCAAAUUGUCAAAAGUACCAGUGCCCAGUUCUAUUUCUAUUUCACAAAAAGGUUCGACAACAAAAACAUUUCAUAAUGUAGGCAUUGGGAAAUACUCGAGACAAUUAGUAUCCACACAAAUUAAGGUGGGAGGCAAUUGUAAGAAAUACAGUGGUUGUGGAUCUGUCAUCAGGUGAAUAGAAAUACUGGCAUGCAGAGGGUAGAGUGUACGCAGAUCAUACCACUACCUCAAGUAGAGAGGCUGUUUCCGAUAGACCCCCGGCUUAGAACCGAUAACAGUAUAACAAACACAAAAGAUAAGUGCAUAUAAACUAGUACGGCAUGCAAAAUAAACUAACACCACUAGCCACAAGAUAAUACUACAGCCACAGGAUAACACUAAGAACUAUCUAACCGAAAUCAUAGACAUCACAUAACAUCACGAACAAUCUCAAGGAAAAUACGAAACAAAAAGAUAAGGUUAUGCCACAAUCUCACACUUCUGACUGAUUAUUUAAAGAUAUAUUCCUCUUCUGUGCCAUUUUGGCUAAAUACAAACUCAACUGCACUCUGUUAACUCAAUACACUUGAACAACAAUAACAACCGAAAUCAUAGACAUCACAUAACAUCACGAACAAUCUCAAGGAAAAUACGAAACAAAAAGAUAAGGUUAUGCCACAAUCUCACACUUCUGACUGAUUAUUUAAAGAUAUAUUCCUCUUCUGUGCCAUUUUGGCUAAAUACAAACUCAACUGCACUCUGUUAACUCAAUACACUUGAACAACAAUAACAACAUACCCAAUAUAUUUCCACGAAGU
This 1894-nucleotide long non-coding RNA is filed under the name Capsicum annuum. RNAcentral's name for it is "long non-coding RNA (CANN_LNC016246)". Lineage: Eukaryota; Viridiplantae; Streptophyta; Magnoliopsida; Solanales; Solanaceae. The record is from RNAcentral.